GUUGGGGGCUCUCCCAUAUGGUCGACCUGCAGGCGGCCGCGAAUUCACUAGUGAUUAGAGUUUGAUCAUGGCUCAGAGCGAACGCUGGCGGCAGGCUUAACACAUGCAAGUCGAGCGCCGUAGCAAUACGGAGCGGCAGACGGGUGAGUAACACGUGGGAACGUGCCUUCUGGUUCGGAAUAACUCAGGGAAACUUGAGCUAAUACCGGAUAAGCCCUUCGGGGGAAAGAUUUAUCGCCUUUGGAGCGGCCCGCGUCUGAUUAGCUAGUUGGUGAGGUAAUGGCUCACCAAGGCGACGAUCAGUAGCUGGUCUGAGAGGAUGGCCAGCCACACUGGGACUGAGACACGGCCCAGACUCCUACGGGAGGCAGCAGUGGGGAAUCUUGCGCAAUGGGCGAAAGCCUGACGCAGCCAUGCCGCGUGGAUGAUGAAGGUCUUAGGAUUGUAAAAUCCUUUCACCGGGGACGAUAAUGACGGUACCCGGAGAAGAAGCCCCGGCUAACUUCGUGCCAGCAGCCGCGGUAAUACGAAUCGAAUUCCCGCGGCCGC
RNAcentral lists this ribosomal RNA (549 nucleotides) under uncultured Alphaproteobacteria bacterium. Its description in RNAcentral is "bacterial SSU rRNA". It matches the Rfam family "Bacterial small subunit ribosomal RNA", at positions 1 to 544 of the family's 1533-position model. Lineage: Bacteria; Pseudomonadati; Pseudomonadota; Alphaproteobacteria. The record is from RNAcentral.